This 497-nucleotide ribosomal RNA is filed under the name uncultured bacterium. Its description in RNAcentral is "partial 16S ribosomal RNA". It matches the Rfam family "Bacterial small subunit ribosomal RNA", at positions 28 to 507 of the family's 1533-position model. The record is from RNAcentral.
GAUGAACGCUGGCGGCGUGCCUAAUACAUGCAAGUCGAGCGAACGGACGAGAAGCUUGCUUCUCUGAUGUUAGCGGCGGACGGGUGAGUAAAACGUGGAUAACCUACCUAUAAGACUGGGAUAACUUCGGGAAACCGGAGCUAAUACCGGAUGAUAUUUUGAACCGCAUGGUUCAAAAGUGAAAGACGGUCUUGCUGUCACUUAUAGAUGGAUCCGCGCUGCAUUAGCUAGUUGGUAAGGUAACGGCUUACCAAGGCAACGAUGCAUAGCCGACCUGAGAGGGUGAUCGGCCACACUGGAACUGAGACACGGUCCAGACUCCUACGGGAGGCAGCAGUAGGGAAUCUUCCGCAAUGGGCGAAAGCCUGACGGAGCAACGCCGCGUGAGUGAUGAAGGUCUUCGGAUCGUAAAACUCUGUUAUUAGGGAAGAACAUAUGUGUAAGUAACUGUGCACAUCUUGACGGUACCUAAUCAGAAAGCCACGGCUAACUACGUG